UUGACCUCGGAUCAGGUAGGGAUACCCGCUGAACUUAAGCAUAUCAAUAAGCGGAGGAAAAGAAACCAACAGGGAUUGCCCCAGUAACGGCGAGUGAAGCGGCAAGAGCUCAAAUUUGAAAGCUGGCUCCUUCGGGGUCCGCAUUGUAAUUUGCAGAGGAUGUUUCGGGAGCGGCUCCCAUCUAAGUGUCCUGGAACGGACCGUCAUAGAGGGUGAGAAUCCCGUAUGGGAUGGGGUGUCCGCGCCCGUGUGAAACUCCUUCGACGAGUCGAGUUGUUUGGGAAUGCAGCUCUAAAUGGGUGGUAAAUUUCAUCUAAAGCUAAAUAUUGGCCGGAGACCGAUAGCGCACAAGUAGAGUGAUCGAAAGAUGAAAAGCACUUUGAAAAGAGAGUUAAAAAGCACGUGAAAUUGUUGAAAGGGAAGCGUUUGCGAUCAGACUCGCCUUCGGGGUUCAGCCUGCCUUCGGGCAGGUGUACUUCCCCGUCGGCGGGCCAGCGUCGGUUUGGGUGGCCGGUCAAAGGCCCUGGGAAUGUAACGCCUCUCGGGGCGUCUUAUAGCCCAGGGUGUCAUGCGGCCUACCCGGACCGAGGAACGCGCUUCGGCUCGGACGCUGGCAUAAUGGUCGUAAACGACCCGUCUUGAAACACGGACCAAGGAGUCUAACAUCUAUGCGAGUGUUCGGGUGUCAAACCCGUGCGCGAAGUGAAAGCGAACGGAGGUGGGAACCCUUUGGGUGCACCAUCGACCGAUCCUGAUGUCUUCGGAUGGAUUUGAGUAAGAGCAUAGCUGUUGGGACCCGAAAGAUGGUGAACUAUGCCUGAAUAGGGCGAAGCCAGAGGAAACUCUGGUGGAGGCUCGCAGCGGUUCUGACGUGCAAAUCGAUCGUCAAAUUUGGGUAUAGGGGCGAAAGACUAAUCGA
This 919-nucleotide ribosomal RNA is filed under the name Penicillium multicolor. RNAcentral's name for it is "eukaryotic LSU rRNA". It matches the Rfam family "Eukaryotic large subunit ribosomal RNA", at positions 1 to 938 of the family's 3401-position model. Lineage: Eukaryota; Fungi; Ascomycota; Eurotiomycetes; Eurotiales; Aspergillaceae. The record is from RNAcentral.